AUUGUGGGAUAGGAUUCGUUUAAACAAAAUGGCUCUCAACAUGGCUUCCAUCGAGAUGCGAUGAACGUAGGAAUAGAAAAUUUAACUAACGGACAUAUGAAGGAUGUAGAAAGUAUAACCGUUUAUUGGUAUGGCUCUGGUGGGAGCUUGUAAAAGAAUCUAGCGAAUAUUUCUAUGCAGUUCUUGAUUACUGCAAGACAGAGCCGACCGGCUAACCGGAUUACAUGCGCUGUUAUUAGAUUUGGAUUAAAGAUUGUUAAACGUUAAACUAGCAAAAUGAUGUGUGAUGUGAUGCCAACCAUCUCAGAAGAUGGGCCAAACGAUAGGGACUCGCAAUAUUCGGGCGAUGACGCCAAUUUCGAACAACUGAUGGUCAACAUGCUCGAUGAACGCGAUAAACUUAUGGAGACGCUGAGGGAGACUCAGGAGGAAUUAAUGAUCAGUAAAGCUAAAUUACAGGAACUCGAACGUGAGCGCGACCUACUACAAAAGCAAAUACAAUGUAACGCUCCUCAGGAACUCUCCAACUUAACUAAAGAUUUAAGCGUCACCAAAGAAAAAUUAAUUGAAAAGGAAGAGGAAGUCAGUGAAUUAAAAGCCGAAAGAAAUAAUACACGGCUACUCCUCGAACAUUUGGAAUGUCUUGUAGCCCGUCAUGAGAGAUCUUUGAGAAUGACCGUCGUUAAACGACAAGCAUCUUCCCCGGCUGGUGUUUCUAGCGAAGUGGAAGUUCUAAAAGCUCUUAAAUCGCUUUUCGAACAUCAUAAAGCCCUCGAUGAAAAGGUUCGGGAAAGGUUAAAGAUGUCGUUGGAAAGAAUUCAACAACUUGAAGAAGAAUUAGGAAAUGCCAAUAACGAAUUAUUUCACUUACGGGAACAAGAAGCCAAACAUCGGCAUUCCACUAUAGAAGAUUCCUCGAACACUUCCAAUGAUAUUUCCCACACGAAAGACAAAGAGUCUAAUAAGCAUACGUUGAACGGCUGUCUAGAAGAUGGAGACAAUAAAGAAAAUGAUAAAAACGAUAGUCGCUUAGCUAAAGUUAAAAUAAUUGAAUUAACCAAUAAAUUGAAUGAAAUUGAAGAGCAAUUAAGUAAUUCUCAAAAAGAAGUUGCGAAAGGACAUGAUCAAAAUUCGAAAUUGCAACGAGAUUUGCGAGAGUCUUUAGCUCAACGUGAAGAUCAGGAAGAGAGAAUUGCAACUUUGGAAAAGAGAUAUUUGAAUGCCCAACGUGAAUCUACCUCAGUACACGACGCCAACGAUAAAAUGAAAGCAGAAUUGGCUAUGAAAGAAGCACAGUUAAAAACGACUGAAGACAAAUUACGUAAUCUUCAAGAGAAAUUGGAUACUGUCGAGCAGAAACUGCAACGCAAUUCUGAAACUUUACCGUCCGUUGAAGCGGAAUUAGCUCAAAGAGCCGAAGCCCUAUCCCAAGCUGAAGAACGGUUUGGGACGAAUGAAGAGAGGAUUAAGAAUUUUGAAAAUCAACUGGAAGAGAGAAGUCAGGAAUUACAAAGGGCUAAACAGAGAGAGAAGAUGAACGAAGAGCAUAAUGCUCGUUUAUCAGCUACUGUCGACAAGCUCUUAUCCGAAUCUAAUGAAAGAUUACAACUUCAUCUCAAAGAACGGAUGCAGGCACUGGAGGAUAAAAAUAAGCUGAAAAAUGAAUUAGAGCAAUUGAGGAAAAGCGGCGAAGAUAUGAAAAUGGAGCGGGAUCAUUGCCAAUCCGAAGUUGAUAGGUACAAGCGCGACGUUAUCGAGCUACAAGCCCAAAUCGAUAGACUAAAUAAUACGGCACCAGUGGAUCCGGAAGUAUAUAGAAGGAAUCAACGUGGAAGACAGGGGCUGAUUGAUGAUCCUAAUAAAGUUCACACUUUAAAUGAGCAAGAAUGGGAUAAACUACAGCAAGCUCAAGUUUUGGCAAAUGUGCAUCAUGCUUUCGACGCGAGCGAUACGGAAGCCGUAACAGAUGAUGAAUCUAUGUUUGGACCUGUAGAUGUUCUCUCUCCAACUGGUCAUGCUGAUGCUCAAACACUAGCACUUAUGCUUCAAGAUCAAUUGGAUGCUAUUAACAAUGAAAUUCGAUUAAUCCAGGAGGAAAAAGAAUCCACAGAACAAAGAGCGGAAGAGUUAGAAAGUCGAGUAGGUAGUGGUAAUUUGGACGUAGCUUCAGUAAGGUCAUACAGAUGGAGGCCUCCUCCUGAACGUUCCUCUUUGGAGCGUGUCUCACCGCCUUUAUCUGGGCGAUCAACGCCCUCUCCACAUUACCCGACCGUUCCAAGAGAUUUCAUGCAUAAGUAUAACACAGCACCGGCUGGUUCGUUAAGUCAUCAUAUGUAUGCUUAUUCGUCUAGUCCGCAAAUUGCCUUGUCAAAUAGUUCUGAUUUACAGCCUUUACAGCCUGCAAGCGCAUCCCGUGACGAUUUGUCAACCAGAGAAGGAGAUUGUAGUCCUCCAGCAACACCGCAUUCUAUGAGGUUGGACAGAAGUGAUCAUACCAUAAAUACCAGCUAUGGAAUACUAACAGGCGAGCAAUUAAUGAAUGCGUCUGUUUCUUCAUCUUCUUCCGGCGGAACAACCGCUGGAACAACUGCUGGAACGGCUGCCAGCACAACAGUUUCCACUGCGCCACAAACAACUAUGAGCACAAGAUCUGUGAUUGCUCAACCAACAUUUAUCAGAACAUCAAUGGAUAGUUCACAAAGUACACCCAGCCCUCUAAGUUCGAACAAUUCGUCACAAGAUUCCUUGCAUAAACAACCAAAGAAGAAGGGAUUGAAAGGAUCGUUAAGCCGCUGGUUUAAAAAGGAUAAGGUUCGGGGAAAGGAGCUAUUAACAGCCCAAUUCCAUGCCCAUCAUUCCUCCUCGCCAAGUAAACAAACUAACAGCGGAAUAGUAUCGUCGGCUUCGGCGACAAUAAGGCGACCCCUAACGGAUACACUACGUACAACAACUUCCGCUUCGGCGGCGAAUUUUCAGAACAUUGACGACGAACUCCUUAAUACUACCUCGCCGUAUGCUGAAGUAGAAAUUGGCACAGAAAACAUGGGAAUGACUCUUGGUAAACAAUCCGAGUUUGAUAGACGUAAAAAGAAGAAGAAUGAAUUAUUAGAGGAAGCCAUGAAAGCUGGUACGCCAUUUGCCCUGUGGAAUGGCCCAACGGUGGUUGCAUGGUUAGAAUUAUGGGUGGGCAUGCCAGCGUGGUACGUUGCUGCUUGCAGGGCAAACGUCAAAAGCGGAGCGAUUAUGUCCGCUUUGUCUGAGCAAGAAAUUCAACGCGAAAUCGGUAUUAGCAAUCCAUUGCACAGACUAAAAUUACGAUUAGCAAUUCAAGAAAUGGUUUCGCUGACGUCACCGUCAGCACCACCCACUUCUAGGAUGUCAUUAGCCUUUGGCGAUAUGAACCACGAAUGGAUAGGCAACGAAUGGCUUCCUUCCUUAGGCCUACCUCAGUAUAGGACGACUUUUAUGGAAUGUCUAGUCGACGCUCGUAUGUUGGAGCACUUAACAAAGAAGGAGUUACGUGGCCAAUUGAAAAUGGUGGAUAGCUUCCAUAGAACUAGCUUACAAUACGGUAUAACCUGCUUGAAGCGAUUAAACUACAAUAGACAAGAAUUGGAAGCUCGCCGAGAAAAUUCCGAACUGAAUGAUAUAAUCGUUUGGACGAAUGAACGAGUUAUAAAAUGGUUAAAUUCUAUAGGGUUGAAAGAAUACUGUAAUAAUCUCAUAGAAAGCGGCGUUCAUGGCACCCUUAUUGCUCUAGAUGAGAGUUUCACGCAUAGCAUAUUAGCCUUGGCUAUGCAAAUACCAACUCAGGAUUCAAACGCACGCCAGACGCUUGAAAAAGAAUUUAACCAUUUACUCACGAUAGGAACGGAUCGACGUGUUGAAGAGAGUAACACGUAGCGAGAUGGUAAGGAAGUUUUCUUUAUCGCUCAUGUUCCUCUUACCUUUUUUUUUCCUUUUUUUUUUUAAUUAAAUAUUGUAUUAUAAAAUUAUGCAUAUAUAUAUAUCAUAUUAUAUCUAUUAGAAUAUUGUUAUAGUAACAUACAUCUAUGUAUAUAUGUUUGUAUAUGUUGCCGAAUUUUUUUUUGCACUAAUCCAAACUAAUAAUUAGAUAGGGCUAUGGCUUUUUUUUUUGGGUUUUUUUUUUUACUUAACAGCUCAACACAAACAAAAUUGUUUUCUCGAAAACAAACAAAAUUCAUUCUUUGUUUAUUAAAUUAUUUUUUAUUAUUAUCAUUAUUACUAUUACUAUUAUUAUUGUUUUCAUAAUAAUCUACUAUCCCUCCCCCGACUUUCACUUAAUCAUCAUUACAACUACUCUUUUCUUAUUCAUCUAUCUAUUUUAUACUAUUUCCUUUCUCCUCUCAUUUCCUUGCCCUUCCUUCCCUCCUUUCUUUUGCUGAAUCUACCUCCCUUAUAAAUAAUAAUAGUAAUAAUAAUAAUGAUAAUAAGAACAUUAUAAUAAAUAGAUAACAUUAUUUGUAUUUUCUUUUUUAUUAUCAUCAAAAUGAAUAAUUAAAAGCAUGAGUUUGCUGUGGCUAACGUAGAUCAAUAGUUCGUUAGUUAGUUAUUGUUUGAAGUACAAUACUUGGGCCUGUUUGGUGUAAUAUUAGGUAUAAUUAUUCUAUUUGUUGGAUUGAUAAAAUGAGACGAAUCGUAAUUAUAUAAAUUGUUCAAAACGAUGUUCAUAGCCGAUAAGUCGUAUUUGUGGCAUAAUUUAUUCGAGAUAGCCGCCAUCUUUCGCCUCUUGGUCGUCCCACAGGUGGAUGUCGAUCGUUUAGGCGAUAUACAGUUUGCGUCAAGACUACAAAGUACUAGCCACUUGAGAAAACGCUGUCUAACUAUUUUAGUAUUAUAGAGAAGUAAACCGGAAAUGUAAUGAAAGCUGUAGCCGGAUGCCCGGGUAGGGUUUGUUGGCAAGUAGAGAAACAUUUGUGGAUGGGUUAAUAAAUUCAGUGGACGACGAGAUUGGAAGCCGAAUAUUUGAAUUCCACCGGAUUUGUGGGCUGAAGCGAUCGUUGUUUGCCAUAUAUUUUCUGUUAUAUGUAGAUCGUCUCCCGGCUCCAGCCAGAGAAUAGAGCCAAAUUCAAUCACUGCCAUCUGUUGGUUUCAUUAUAAAUUAUAUAAAUAUGACCUAAAUUGUACUUUUCCCUAUCCCCUCCUGUAUUGUAGAGGAGAGAAAAAAAGACAAGACUAUAGUAUUAUGUAUAUUUGUUAUUUACUUGUAAAAGUAGUGGCCUCCAAGUGUGUUUAAAGCGAACUCGCCUUGGAUUGAUAAACCGUUUUUGAAAACCUCGAAUUCCGACAUUGCACAAGUUCUUGAGCUAGAGAAUAAAUAUUUUAUUUGUAUAAAAAGUCAAAUCUUUAGAGAGAAAGGUAUCGUAAAUAUGUACAAUUUCAGACAAGAAUGCGAUAAGGAUACGGUGGCUGACUUACCGAAUUCCUCUGAUAAGGAAAGGGAGACGCGAAACUGAAAAGGGCACCAUCUUGGAGAAAGAAAUUGAAGGCGAAAGAUAGCCAAAGUCCUUCGGUUUCUGCGUCUAAUUCCCCAUCCAGACGCGCUAAAAGGGGCGAUAGUGAACACUGAUUAUAGGAGAAAAAAAUCGCACAAAUUUAGCAAUAUGUAUAAAUAUAUAUACGUACAUACACAUCAUUCAUUUUGUAUAUAUGUAUAUAUAUAUCUAUAUAUAUAUAUAUAUAU
Molecule: unclassified non-coding RNA, 5704 nt
Filed under: Dimorphilus gyrociliatus
Lineage: Eukaryota; Metazoa; Annelida; Polychaeta; Dinophilidae
Description: dgyrCDS9248
Source: RNAcentral